This 442-nucleotide ribosomal RNA is filed under the name uncultured bacterium. Its description in RNAcentral is "partial 16S ribosomal RNA". It matches the Rfam family "Bacterial small subunit ribosomal RNA", at positions 338 to 795 of the family's 1533-position model. The record is from RNAcentral.
CCUACGGGUGGCAGCAGUAGGGAAUCUUUCACAAUGGGCGAAAGCCUGAUGGAGCAACGCCGCGUGCAGGAUGAAGGCCUUCGGGUUGUAAACUGCUUUUAUAAGCGAGAAAUAUGAUGGUAACUUAUGAAUAAGGAUCGGCUAACUACGUGCCAGCAGCCGCGGUCAUACGUAGGAUCCGAGCAUUAUCCGGAGUGACUGGGUGUAAAGAGUUGCGUAGGUGGCGUAGAAAAUAGCUAGUGUAAUUCGGUGGUUCAACCAUUCAGACUAUUAGCUAAACUGCUAAGCGUGAGUGCGUUAGAGGUAAGUGGAAUGUCUGGUGUAGGGGUGAAAGCCGUAGAUAUUAGAAGGAACACCGAUAGCGUAGGCAGGUUACUGGGACGGUACUGACGCUAAGGCACGAAAGCGUAGGGAGCAAACGGGAUUAGAUACCCGAGUAGUC